RNAcentral lists this ribosomal RNA (709 nucleotides) under uncultured fungus. RNAcentral describes it as "SSU rRNA". It matches the Rfam family "Eukaryotic small subunit ribosomal RNA", at positions 392 to 1102 of the family's 1831-position model. Lineage: Eukaryota; Fungi. The record is from RNAcentral.
GAGCCUGAGAAACGGCUACCACAUCCAAGGAUGGCAGCAGGCGCGCAAAUUACCCAAUCCCGACACGGGGAGGUAGUGACAAUAAAUAACAAUACGGGGUUCUUUAGGAUCUCGUAAUUGGAAUGAGUACAAUUUAAAUCUCUUAACGAGGAACAAUUGGAGGGCAAGUCUGGUGCCAGCAGCCGCGGUAAUUCCAGCUCCAAUAGCGUAUAUUAAAGUUGUUGCAGUUAAAAAGCUCGUANNUGAAUUUCGGGGUUAGUAGGUUGGUCAUGCCUCUGGUAUGUACUGGUCUCACUGAUUCCUCCUUCCUUAUGAACCGUAAUGCCAUUAAUUUGGUGUUGCGGGGAAUUUGGACUGUUACUUUGAAAAAAUUAGAGUGUUUAAAGCAAGCUAACGCUUGAAUACAUUAGCAUGGAAUAAUGAAAUAGGACGUUCGAUCUUAUUUUGUUGGUUUCUAGGAUUGACGUAAUGAUUAAUAGGGAUAGUUGGGGGCAUUAGUAUUCAAUUGUCAGAGGUGAAAUUCUUGGAUUUAUUGAAGACUAACUACUGCGAAAGCAUUUGCCAAGGAUGUUUUCAUUAAUCAAGAACGAAAGUUAGGGGAUCGAAGACGAUCAGAUACCGUCGUAGUCUUAACCAUAAACUAUGCCGACUAGGGAUCGGAUGAUGUUAAUUUUUUAAUGACUCAUUCGGCGCCUUACGGGAAACCAAA